AUAUUUACAAUGCUGAAUAAAUAGAAAACAAGUUGAUUUGAAGAUUUGAGAAAUAGCAAAACGUUUAGUUUUUUUUGUCUCAGUUCCAGCCUUACCUGAAGCUCAUCUACAACCCCUCAGCUACCAAUAAAAUCUCAUUUGAAUAUGGGAUAACAACACUUCUCCCAUCGUUCAUGAAGGCUGAAGAGACAAAGACUUGGGAAGAGGAAGGAAAAUAAUAUGGUGGAUACAAGGGAGAAGAAACCCAAGCCUUGCAUCUGGAUUGGAAUGAGAUUACAUUUUUGACAUAUUUUCAUAUCUAUCUGGAGUACAUUCAACUUUACAGAUUACAUUUGGAUAUUUAGGUGCUAAAUGUUUUCCUAAAUACUA
Molecule: long non-coding RNA, 369 nt
Filed under: Oncorhynchus kisutch (coho salmon)
Lineage: Eukaryota; Metazoa; Chordata; Actinopteri; Salmoniformes; Salmonidae
Description: lncRNA (ENSOKIG00005028074.1)
Source: RNAcentral